AUACGGAGGGUGUAAGCGUUAAUCGGAAUUACUGGGCGUAAAGCGUACGUAGGCGGUUCGUUAAGUUAGAUGUGAAAGCCCCGGGCUUAACCUGGGAACUGCAUUUAAAACUGGCGAACUAGAGUUGAGUAGAGGGGAGUGGAAUUUCAGGUGUAGCGGUGAAAUGCGUAGAGAUCUGAAGGAACACCAGUGGCGAAGGCGACUCCCUGGACUCGAACUGACGCUGAGGUACGAAAGCGUGGGUAGCAAACGGGAUUAGAAACCCCAGUAGUCC
This 274-nucleotide ribosomal RNA is filed under the name uncultured bacterium. RNAcentral describes it as "partial 16S ribosomal RNA". It matches the Rfam family "Bacterial small subunit ribosomal RNA", at positions 523 to 796 of the family's 1533-position model. The record is from RNAcentral.